GAGUUUGAUCGUGGCUCAGAUUGAACGCUGGCGGCAGGCCUAACACAUGCAAGUCGAGCGGAUGACGGGAGCUUGCUCCUUGAUUCAGCGGCGGACGGGUGAGUAAUGCCUAGGAAUCUGCCUGGUAGUGGGGGACAACGUUUCGAAAGGAACGCUAAUACCGCAUACGUCCUACGGGAGAAAGCAGGGGACCUUCGGGCCUUGCGCUAUCAGAUGAGCCUAGGUCGGAUUAGCUAGUUGGUGGGGUAAUGGCUCACCAAGGCGACGAUCCGUAACUGGUCUGAGAGGAUGAUCAGUCACACUGGAACUGAGACACGGUCCAGACUCCUACGGGAGGCAGCAGUGGGGAAUAUUGGACAAUGGGCGAAAGCCUGAUCCAGCCAUGCCGCGUGUGUGAAGAAGGUCUUCGGAUUGUAAAGCACUUUAAGUUGGGAGGAAGGGCAGUAAGUUAAUAACCUUGCUGUUUUGACGUUACCGACAGAAUAAGCACCGGCUAACUCUGUGCCAGCCGCCG
This 514-nucleotide ribosomal RNA is filed under the name bacterium enrichment culture clone ALO1_GLFRUDD03FPG12. RNAcentral's name for it is "bacterial SSU rRNA". It matches the Rfam family "Bacterial small subunit ribosomal RNA", at positions 9 to 517 of the family's 1533-position model. The record is from RNAcentral.